UACGUAGGGUCCGAGCGUUGUCCGGAAUUAUUGGGCGUAAAGAGCUCGUAGGCGGUUUGUCGCGUCUGCUGUGAAAACCUAAGGCUCAACCUUGGGCUUGCAGUGGGUACGGGCAGACUAGAGUGCGGUAGGGGUGACUGGAAUUCCUGGUGUAGCGGUGGAAUGCGCAGAUAUCAGGAGGAACACCGAUGGCGAAGGCAGCCCCCUGGGCUGACACUGACGCUCAGGCACGAAAGCGUGGGGAGCAAACAGG
Molecule: ribosomal RNA, 253 nt
Filed under: uncultured bacterium
Lineage: Bacteria
Description: partial 16S ribosomal RNA
Rfam family: Bacterial small subunit ribosomal RNA
Source: RNAcentral